Molecule: ribosomal RNA, 253 nt
Filed under: uncultured bacterium
Lineage: Bacteria
Description: partial 16S ribosomal RNA
Rfam family: Bacterial small subunit ribosomal RNA
Source: RNAcentral
UACGUAGGGGGCAAGCGUUGUCCGGAUUUAUUGGGCGUAAAGAGCGUGUAGGCGGCCAUACAGGUCCGUUGUGAAAACUCGAGGCUCAACCUCGAGACGUCGACGGAAACCGUCUGGCUAGAGUCCGGAAGAGGAGUGUGGAAUUCCUGGUGUAGCGGUGAAAUGCGCAGAUAUCAGGAAGAACACCUAUGGCGAAGGCAGCACUCUGGGACGGUACUGACGCUGAGACGCGAAAGCGUGGGGAGCGAACAGG